Molecule: ribosomal RNA, 301 nt
Filed under: uncultured bacterium
Lineage: Bacteria
Description: partial 16S ribosomal RNA
Rfam family: Bacterial small subunit ribosomal RNA
Source: RNAcentral
CAGUCGCCGCGGUAAUACGAAGGGGGCUAGCGUUGCUCGGAAUGACUGGGCGUAAAGGGCGCGUAGGCGGUUUAUACAGUCAGAUGUGAAAUUCCUGGGCUCAACCUGGGGACUGCAUUUGAUACGUAUGGACUUGAGUGGAGAAGAGGGUCGUGGAAUUUCCAGUGUAGAGGUUAAAUUCGUAGAUAUUGGAAAGAACACCAACGGCGAAAGCACUCUGCUGGGCCGACACUGACACUGAGAGACGAAAGCUAGGGGAGCAUAUGGGAUUAGAUACCCCUGUAGUCCCUGUCUCUUAUAC